GCUGCUUCAGGGGUGGGUUGAGGUUUUAAGUGGCUGGGGUGGCUUUUCUUUUUCCCUUGUGCUUAGUUUCUGACCUUGUACAGUGAUAUCUACUGGCAAAGCAAUGAGGACCUCCCUGGUGAUGUGAAAGUGACUUGGUCCUAAGCAAGAUUUUUCAGAAAGCAGGAAAGGAUUCAUCACAUCUGCAGCAGAAAAGAGGGAGUUUUUGCUCCAGAUUAUUUCUAUGUCAGAAUAGUGCAGAGGAGUGAUGGGUUCAAAAGAGGGCCUUUUUUACCAAAGUGCUCAUUGGCAACCCCAGAAGUGCACUCAUGAAUGUCAGCCUCUGUCAGAAGAAGCACCAAUAUGUGCUUGUCUCUGCUUCUCAAGACUUCAUGGGUAUCUUCUGUCCAGCUCACAG
Molecule: long non-coding RNA, 397 nt
Filed under: Cyanistes caeruleus (blue tit)
Lineage: Eukaryota; Metazoa; Chordata; Aves; Passeriformes; Paridae
Description: lncRNA (ENSCCEG00000014752.1)
Source: RNAcentral